This 205-nucleotide unclassified non-coding RNA is filed under the name Hevea brasiliensis (rubber tree). Lineage: Eukaryota; Viridiplantae; Streptophyta; Magnoliopsida; Malpighiales; Euphorbiaceae. The record is from RNAcentral.
GUUUUGUUAUAAAUCACCAGCAUAAUAAUUUGAAACGAUUUUCCUGAAGAAAAAUACAUGAGCACAUCCAUACCAUAACUUUUUCACUUGAAAUUGGCUAGUCAUUAGAAUUUUAAUUUCCGUCUUACAAUCUUCAGAUUGGUUCCAAUAUGAAAAAUUUCCAACCAAACUAGCUAAAGCUUAACUUGAGAUAUGGGCAAUGAAA